This 497-nucleotide ribosomal RNA is filed under the name uncultured bacterium. RNAcentral's name for it is "partial 16S ribosomal RNA". It matches the Rfam family "Bacterial small subunit ribosomal RNA", at positions 28 to 507 of the family's 1533-position model. The record is from RNAcentral.
GAUGAACGCUGGCGGCGUGCCUAAUACAUGCAAGUCGAGCGAACGGACGAGAAGCUUGCUUCUCUGAUGUUAGCGGCGGAGGGGUGAGUAACACGUGGAUAACCUACCUAUAAGACUGGGAUAACUUCGGGAAACCGGAGCUAAUACCGGAUAAUAUUUUGAACCGCAUGGUUCAAAAGUGAAAGACGGUCUUGCUGUCACUUAUAGAUGGAUCCGCGCUGCAUUAGCUAGUUGGUAAGGUAACGGCUUACCAAGGCAACGAUGCAUAGCCGACCUGAGAGGGUGAUCGGCCACACUGGAACUGAGACACGGUCCAGACUCCUACGGGAGGCAGCAGUAGGGAAUCUUCCGCAAUGGGCGAAAGCCUGACGGAGCAACGCCGCGUGAGUGAUGAAGGUCUUCGGAUCGUAAAACUCUGUUAUUAGGGAAGAACAUAUGUGUAAGUAACUGUGCACAUCUUGACGGUACCUAAUCAGAAAGCCACGGCUAACUACGUG